RNAcentral lists this unclassified non-coding RNA (242 nucleotides) under Calycellina sp. RNAcentral describes it as "partial contains 5.8S ribosomal RNA, internal transcribed spacer 2, and large subunit ribosomal RNA". The stretch from base 1 to 52 matches the Rfam family "5.8S ribosomal RNA", at positions 103 to 154 of the family's 154-position model. RNAcentral also lists the same sequence under 2 other names. The record is from RNAcentral. Lineage: Eukaryota; Fungi; Ascomycota; Leotiomycetes; Helotiales; Pezizellaceae.
AACGCACAUUGCGCCCCUUGGUAUUCCGAGGGGCAUGCCUGUUCGAGCGUCAUUACAACCCUCAAGCAAUGCUUGGUCUUGGGCCCCGCCAGUCAUCCGGCGGGCCUUAAAAUCAGUGGCGGUGCCGUCAGGCUCUGAGCGUAGUAAAUCUUCUCGCUACAGGGACCUGGUGGAUGCUAGCCAGCAACCCCCAAUUUUCUAUGGUUGACCUCGGAUCAGGUAGGGAUACCCGCUGAACUUAA